RNAcentral lists this ribosomal RNA (400 nucleotides) under phytoplankton environmental sample. RNAcentral describes it as "partial small subunit ribosomal RNA". It matches the Rfam family "Eukaryotic small subunit ribosomal RNA", at positions 587 to 988 of the family's 1831-position model. The record is from RNAcentral.
AGCUCCAAGAGCGUAUAUUAAAGUUGUUGCAGUUAAAAAGCUCGUAGUUGGAUUUCUGGUACAACGCGCCUGGCCCGCAUUUUUGUGAGUGCCGGUGCGCGUUUGCCAUCCUUCUAGAAAACGUUUCUACCUGGGCAACCGGGCCGGACUCGCGAUCUAGAUCUUUUACUUUGAAAAAAUUAGAGUGUUUAAAGCAGGCUUUUGCUGUGAAUACAUUAGCAUGGAAUAAUGAUCUAGGACUUUGGUUCUAUUUCGUUGGUUUCUAGUACUGAAGUAAUGAUUGAUAGGGAUAGUUGGGGGUGCUAGUAUUGGCCGGCCAGAGGUGAAAUUCUUGGAUUCGGUCAAGACUAACUUAUGCGAAAGCAUUCACCAAGGAUGUCUUCUUUAAUCAAGAACGAAA